Non-coding RNA from Oncorhynchus mykiss (rainbow trout), 180 nucleotides. Lineage: Eukaryota; Metazoa; Chordata; Actinopteri; Salmoniformes; Salmonidae. The record is from RefSeq and is a predicted model, not a curated record.
ACAGUCUGAAGAAGAAGUUUGGCCUCAACACGCUGGAAAUCAGAAGGUGCUCUGUUGAGGAUGCUGGGGAGUACAAGGUGGUUGCCAGGAGUUCUCUGGGUGAAGCUACUACCAUUGCCACUCUGGUGGUCAACUCAUAUCAAGGAGCCGAGGCCACAAUCGAGCAAUCCUGGACCCCAA